Hypanus sabinus (Atlantic stingray) is the source of this 15030-nucleotide long non-coding RNA. RefSeq lists it as uncharacterized. Lineage: Eukaryota; Metazoa; Chordata; Chondrichthyes; Myliobatiformes; Dasyatidae. The record is from RefSeq and is a predicted model, not a curated record. The transcript is spliced from 4 exons.
GCUUCCCGGGGUCUGGAUAUGGAUCGUGGGACUGAAAGAGAUGGAAAUAACUGAGUGUCCCAGAGUGCUAGGCCCUGGCAUGUUUCGGCUCACAGCAAUUGUCCCAGGGUAACUGUGCAGACGCCGGUGCUCAUAAACCCUGUUCCUUCCUGCGACCGAUUCUCCCAGGACUUUUGUUCACUGCACACAUGGGCGAUAUUGAGAACGAACAAUGACCUUCACGCCUGCGCAGUAGACCCAAGUCCUUUGAAAUCCACAACAAAAUUGAAAUCGAUAUAUGGAAUACAGAUUGUGCUCGUACGUUAAGAAGAGGCAAUGUGUUAGUCGUGUGCAAGGAUAAGAAACAGUGAUUGAAGACUUUACUUGACGAAAAGGGAAGCAGCUGAGGUGAGCGUAAUUUAUAAAAGUGCGCGCAGCGGGUACUCGGGACAGUGUGAUCGAGAAACCAUGGCAACAGGAAGAGGGGGAGCGAAGGGCUCAUGGGAAAAUUGGCAGAGGUAAGGCCAGGUAAGUUCCUGUAAUUAAAUAACUUAGGAGUAGGUAAUGGAGGCAGCAGUUAGGGUAGUCGAGUGCUCCGUUUGCAGGAUGUCAGAAGUCAGGGACAGCUCAAUUGUCCCUGAUGACUACACCUGUAAAAGGUGCAUCCUGCUGAAGCUCCUGACAAACCGAGUUAGGGAGCUGGAGCUGGAUGAACUUCGGAUCAUUCGUGAGAAAGAGGCAGAAAUAGACAGGAGUUUCAGGGAGAUAGUCACCCCUAAAAUGCAGGAGGCAGGUAGCUGGGUGACUGUCAGGAGAGGGAAGGAGAAUAGACAGGAAGAGUAGAGCACCCCGCGGCCAUUCCCAUCAACAAUAAGUAUACCGUUUUGGAUACUGUUGGUGGGGACGACCUACCAGGGACCAAUUGUAGUGGUUGCAUCACUAGCUCAGAAAGGAAGGAGGGAAAAGAAGAGAGCAGUAGUGAUAGGGGGUUCGAUUGUUAGGGGGACAGAUAAGAGGUUCUGUGGGAGUGAUGGAGAAUCUCGGAUGGUCUGUUGCCUCCCUGGUGCCAGGGUCCGCGAUAUCUCAGAUCGAGUUCUCGGUAUUCUCAGGACGGAGGGUGAGCAGUCAAAUGUAGGGAUCAAUGACUUGGAGAGGAAGGAGAGGUGUAAUAAAAGGUUAUGUUACAUUAUUCAUCAUACUGCAGUGGUAGUGAUUCCUGUUUAAAAAGGGCAUGAAUAGGAGAAAGGCUGUACCAUGGUGGUUUGAGGAGUAUGCAGAGACAGGGAAAUGAGGCAUUUAGGAAAGUUAAGAAGUAUCACUCUCCAUUUGACCUUAUGAAUUUUGCAAAGUAUAGAAGGGUACAGGCUGUGGUGAGGAAAGUGGAGGUCAUAUUGUGGAUCGUAUUGGAAGGGAUAUUAAACUUGGAGAUGUUUGGAGAAUGUUUCAGAGAAUGGGGGUGGGUAGGGGGAAGAUUCACAGAGUUAAUAACAUUCAAGUAUUCCAGAAAGUAAAACAGUAGUUACUGAAAUAGAGAGGGUUGACUUACUGGCUUGGUCAUUUGCUGCAAUUCAUAAUUAAGAUAAUUUAAUUGAAGAGGCUAAACUAAGUAGAGAUAAGGUUUUAAGUGAAUACCCCGAUAAUUAGUGAAGUAGUGUUUUCCUUGUAUGAAUUAAAGAAGGCUUGUAUUAGUAUGGGUCCGGGGUCUCCAGGGAAGGAUCCAUCCUGCUAAAGGGUUUUGGCCUGAAAUAUUGACUGUACAGUCGGCCCUCCUUAUCCGCGAGUUCCACAUGUGCGAAUCGAGAAAACCCGGACGUGCUCUUCCAGCACGUUCUUCGAACAUGUACGGACAUUUUUUUUCUUGUCAUUAUUCCCUAAACAAUGCAAUAUAACAACUAGUUUACAUAGCAUUUACAUUGUAUUAGGUAUAAGUAAUCUAGAGAUGAUUUAAAGUACACAGGAGAAUGUGCGUAGGUAACCGUGGAUUGGGAUAGGAAAAAAUUCGUAAGUUCUCUUACAGUGCAAGUCGGAAUAGGUACAUCUGGUAUUAUUUAGCGUCAGUUAGUCGAACGUUUGUCUUAGUAUAUAUUUUACCUUUCUUUGCACAUAAAACACAAAGUAUGUUUCAGCUCCGGGCUUGGGAAGUUCCCGAGUUCAAUCCAGUGACAGACCACUUCCGAGCGCGCUCUCCUCCAUGCCUGGUUGAUGUGGAGGAUCAAAAACCCAAAACCCAAUAAUUAAACCGCUGUGAUGUUUAGUAAUAAUUGUAGCUUUCAUCGGGGCAGGGCCUUUCUCAUUGACCGACUGUAGCCUAACGCUUUUCCAAUGACCGAUGGCAUUUCACCUCUUUCUGAUUGCUUUAUUAUUUCCACUUUAUUUUCAAUCAUGAUCGUGAUUAUUUUCGGGAACAGAAACACUGCAGCUCGGCUGCUGGGUCCUAAGAACCACCGCAUUGAGACAGGUUAAAUAAGGAACUUGAGCAUCCGCAGUUUUUGGUAUCUGCGAGGGGUCCCGGAACCAAUCCCUCAUGGAUAAGGAGGGCUAACUGUACUUUUUUUCUAUAGAUGCUGCCUGGCUUGCUGAGUUCCUCCGGCAUUUUGUGUAUGUUGCUUGUAUUUCCAGUAUCUGCAGAUUUUCUCUUCUUUAUAAUAAAUGUUGUCGUAUGUUUAACCAUACAGAUCAACUCUCUUGAGAUACUAACAUUUUUGAAUCUUAUUUGGAAUUUAGGCCAGCUUCCCUCCUUGGGAAGGGAAAAUGGUAUUAGUAGUGCGUAUUCUAAAACUUAGGAAAGCCCCAUUGGAUUGUUCUGGUUAUAGACCUGUACUAGACAACAGGGUGACGUGUUGGGGCACCCUUUGAGAGAAUUGAAAUAGAGCUGCCCUGCCCUUUUUGCUGCGCUCGGUGUCGCUGCUGAGACUGGCCGUGCGCAUGCGUCGUGGUGUUGUGUCCCAAUUUCCAUGAAGAUGGAUCAGCUCUCAGGUGUUGAUUCUGGCGAAUGAGUAAUUUUAUACAAAUAUAUAACCCUGAACUUUGCCUGCAUUCUGUAAGUUAGCACAUUUUAAGUUGAUUUAACCAAAAAAUGUGUCGCUGUAAUGCACCGUUUGCACUAAUUGGAGGUCACAAACAGACAGAGCAUGAGAGUUUUAGUAGUAUGUAGAUAGAUCACUAACGUCCCAUUUAUGUAAAUGGUAAUAAAGCAGUUGAAUGAUAUAUUGGAAAAGAGAGGAUAAAGCAUUUUAUCAGAGCGAAUUUCAGAAGGGUACACCAGCAUUGGAUUCAAUUUCAUGUUUAGAAGUGUCAGGAACGGGGGCCGGAUGGACCCAAACGCAGGACGCAGAAACUAAAGUACUAGGAGGAGGACAGGAUGGGGAUGCCAUAGCAUGUAAAGGUUAAUGCAGGCGGGGCUGGAUCCAAGAGUUCAAACCAGGCAGGCAGGAGGAUCCCAGAGUUCAGAUGAGGCAGGCAGGCAGGAGGUCUCCGUCCCACGGCCCCUUAUAAACACCUGGAGCCGAAUUGGCCACAGGUGUGCCUCCUUGAUCCAGGCUGAUCUUAACAGGCUCAAAGAGGCCGGGAGGGACAGCUGCAAGACCUGGAGUCUGGAGCACUCGGACUGGAUCGAGACCCGCACGCGGAUUCUGGACUGGACCGGACCCUGACAAGAAGAUGAUAUUCGGAAAGCACGGGUAAAUUAAGAAGUUGUAAUAGUAUUUUUUUUUAAUUGAAAAAGCCUCUAUUGAAAAAUUAUCCCUUUGAUAAUUUCAACCUUCCAUGCUUUGUCCCAUGCAGAGGCAACACGUGAGGUUAUACAGGCUUCUCCUACCCAAGUUGCCUUUCCCUUGUUGUUCACUGUCCAUACCUGCAUAUCACCCCUCACACCCACAAGAUGAACAAGGCCAUCCUCCUCCUUUCCCUUUGCUGAUCUCUGUGGUGCAUAGUUAGUUAAGUUAGUUAAGGCCAUCACCCCUACUGAGGCAGAAACCAUUGACGAUACCUCACUAGAGUCAUCUGUCCUGGACCAGUCUUUCAAACUGUCCUCUGGCGUAGCCCAUCUUCUUGGUGGAUCCAUGUUGUCCUAGGGCUAAGUUCCUUGGAGCUUUUGCAGCCCUGUGUUUUUACAGGUUGGGGUCAAACCCUCCUCCAUUUGCAACUGGGCUUGGGACUGUCCGCAGAGUUGUGGAACACUGAAUAUGCUGGAAUACUGAGUUCUCAGUCCUGGGCAGCCUGCCACGAUGUCCCUGCAAUAGCUGUAAGAUCAAACUCAUUUGUCACAACACAAUUUAAUGCCUGCGUUCAUUCUUCCUAUUGAUACCCCUCAUGAUAGUGUAUAUUCUGUCAAAUCUCCCCUGAUCUCCUACACUUCAGGGAAUAAAGUCCUAACCUGUUCAACCUCUCUUUAUAAUUCAGGUCCUCAAGUGUCUACUCUUUCAGUCUUAUUGAUAUAUUUUCUAUUCAUAGGUAAUUAGAACUGCAAAUUUGGUCUCACCAAUGUCUUAUACAACUUCAAGAUCACAUCACAACUUCUGUUAAAAGCUGUCUCUAUGACCCUCCUUAGUGACUCCAUUUCCAAGAAAUUAUGGAUCCAUAUUGCCAGCUUCCUCUGUUCUACCACACUCCUCAGUGCCCUACUGAUCGGCCCAUGAAACUGUGUUAACCUUAAUGCCAAUUCAAACUGCAUGUCCUUCUAAUAUAUAUCCCUCCAGUCCCUUUGAGAUGGGUAAAGAGUUAAUUUUGUCCUGCUGACAUGUAAGGAAUUAGCCGUUAAGCUACGCCGCUGGUUUCCUUGUCUCACUUGCAGGAGGUGGUAAUCCAAUUAUACUUUGCUCUCAAUCAUCUAAUCGCGCACAUUGUUCUGGGUGUCUGAACUUUACUUUUGUUUGAGGUGAUCAAGUGAUCUUUGACUCGGACUAUCACGGUUGCUGGGCAUGUGACUGGGGGGGUAGCUAAAAAAUGUUUUCUGCACCCAUGACAAAGAUGAUAUAAAAACUCCGAAUCUCUGUGCUUCAGCAGAGAGACCUCUGUGGCUGACUCUGUGAGAGUGCAGAAGGAGGGUUUUCUCUCAUAGCUUGCUACUAAUAAAGGUGGAAAAGAAUCAACAGUGGUACUUGUUUCAUUACAUCGGGUUGAUCACCGUUGUCAAUUUGGUGAGCCAGCCAGGAGUCCAGAGUGAUCCCCUUGAGACGGCGUCAGCAAUAAUCUGUGCGGCGGCGACCUGAGACGGAUGGGUCCGCAAGGUAAGAUUCACCUUUAUCUCUCUCACUAGUCAGUCGCACAGAAAAUCCAUUCAUCUGAUGGGCGACGCUCUAAUGGACUCCUGCAGAACCUAAUUAUGGAUCACCCAAAUGCCACGGUUAGAGCAAGGUUCGAGUCCUCUGCUAAACAAAAGCGUAAGAGCGCAUUCAAGUCCUCUGCUAAACAAAAGGGAAAGAGCAGGGUUCGAGUCCUCUGCGAAACAAAAAGAGUCAGGUUCAAGUCCCAGUUUGAGGCCGCAUCUUGAGUAUCUACACCCGGCCUUAGACCGGUUGUUAAGAAGGGAAAUCCCCCAUGCGAAUGUCAGGAACUUGAAGUGGGUGAGAGAAAAAAGAGUGGCCGAUUAGUCUUUGAGAGACAAAUAUAUAAAAUCGUACAGAACAAUGGGUCAGUUCUUAGAUAAGUCAGCAAAUAACACACCGUUAUUUAAAUUCUAUAAAGAUGAUCCAGAAAAAGAAAAAAACUAUUGUAGGUUAUCAGCAUGCUUAAAUGAGAAAUUGGGUAAUGAUAUUUGGCCUUGGGGGGAAGCUUGGAAAGUUGAUAAAUGCCUUAAAGUGGAAGAGGCGAUUUGGAAAUGCAACACCGAUCUUAAUGUCUAAUUGGAGAAAAACGGCCGAAGAAUUAACCAAUAGCUCUAAGCAGACCAGCUGGGAGCACAACGCAUGUCGGAGGGGGAUUAGUGUAUGCGUUACCGAAGGGAAUCUGAAGCCUUGGGAGACAUUGAAGAUUAUGACACUCAAAAGCAGAAGAAUUAUAGGCAAGGUAAUAAGGAAAAAACCAAUAAGAAAGGAAAGGAUAAAGGAAGGUUAAAGCCGGCAAAGGUAAAACUGAGGUACCUCUUGACCUGUCUGGUCUGCCCAUGCUAUUUGAUGAUAACAAGAACGAGCAGGAGGAGGACUGGAGAGUUCAACCCAUGACCCCCAUCUACCCCUCCUUUCCACCACCACCAUAUACUGCAAGUACAACCAACAACCGACCUACGCAGAGUGCCUCCCCAAGCCAAUUCCACGAUCCCAUAGCCUCUCGAAUGAGGGGCCAGCUCAAGCAGAGGCAAACAUUUACACGGAUUCCUACUUUCUUUUGGGGUAGCCCAUGACUUUGGACAAUUAUGGGCUCCUGGCCUGCUCUGGUGGACCGAUUCAGAAUGCUACCUAUGUAAAGAACCUCCUUCUGGCUAUCCUCUUCCCUGAAAAAUUGGCAAUUAUAAAAUGCACGGCUCACCUACACGAUGAUUCUGCAGUGACCAAAGGAAAUAAUUGGGUGGACUUAGUAGUCAAGCAGGCUGUGCAAGAGGCAACUAUUGUAGUUUUAACUGCAGAGAAAUUGGCCUUCGCAACAACUAAGUCACCCCAAGCGCCGGGCACUCCAGACAUGGCCACAAUCCAAAAACUAUGGGGGGACGCCCCCUGAUGCAGGGAAAGGACUCUGGAAGGCACACAAUGUGUGCAUUCAGUGUCCACAGGCCUCUGCCAUACCCCAGCAGGGCAAAUCUGUAUUCCUAAUACAUUACUGCCUAUGUUACUUGAUUUGCCUGCAUGCAGACACCCACCUUGGCAAGGAUGGAAUGAGUAAUAUUUUACUUCGCACAUGGUGGCACCCAAGAUUGGAAGAGUCUGCCAAAGCAAAAAUACAACCCUGUUUGAUCUGCCAGAAGACUAAUGCGGGUAAGGGGAUAAGAUGCUCCACAGGGAAAACUCCCUUGCCAGGUGAGCCGUUUGAAUGCAUUCAGCAUGAUUUUAUUGAGUUACCACGGAUGCACUGUUAUAAAUAUUGCCUUGUUGUAGUAGAUGCUUUUAGUAGAUGGAUAGAAGCCUUCCCAACUACCAAUAAUAAAGCCUCAACAGUGGUACCUUGACAGAUUAGUUCAGACAAUGGCCCACAAUUUGUGGGAAAGAUUAACAAGGAGUUGUGUGAGGCCUUGCACAUUGAACAGCAGGUCCAUUGUUCCCAUCACCCUAAAGCAGCAGGUAUUGUGGAAAGGGCAAUUGGCACACUAAAAAAUAAGCUAACAAAAUUGACCUCAGAAACGGGGCUGAAUUGGUUAAAGGUGCUUCCCUUGGCCCUAUAUCACAUGAGAAUUACCCCACACUCUGCUACAGGGGUAUCUUAUACUUAUACUUUAUUGUCACCAAACAAUUGAUACAACAGCGUACAAUCAUCACAGUGAUAUUUGUUUCUGCGCUUCACGCUCCUGAAGUACAAAUUGAAGUAAAUAUAAUAAAAAUUUGAAUUAUAAAUCAUAAUUAGAAAAUAGAAAAGGUAAAGUAAGUAGUGCAAGUCAGGUCCAAAUAUUUGGAAGGUACGGCCCAGAUCCUGGUCAGGAUCUGUUCAGCAGUCUUAUCACAGUCGGAAAGAAGCUGUUCCCGAAUCUUGCCGUAUGAAUCUUCAAGCUCCUGAACCUUUUCCCGGAGGGAAGAGGGACAAAAAGUGUGUUGGCUGGGUGGGUCUUGAACUUGAUUAUCCUGGCAGCAGCACUGCUCUGACAGCAUGUGGUGUAAAGUGAGUCCAAGGAUGGAAGAUUGGUUUGUGUGAUGUGCUGGGCUAUGUUCACAAUUUUCUGCAGCUUAUUCCAAAGUUGGAAAAGGAAAACUUCCAUACCAGGUUGUGAUGCACCCCAGAAGAAUGCUUUCUACGGUGCAUCUAUAAAAAUUAUCUGCGGUGGAGAUUGUCUAUGGGUGACCAGGAAGUACACCCUGGGAUGCCAAUAUAACACCCCUGACUCAGGUGGAUCUGAGUCAUGGAUUCCUCCCAUCAUGUGGGAGGAAUUUUAGAAAUAUUUUCGCCAGUUAACAUCCUCUUUAAAAUUUCUCCAUUCUCAGGUGCAGAAUUUAAGGAACAUUGAAUACACCUCAGCGACUGCAAGAGAUGGCUCCCAGCCCAAGAUUAAUCAUUUACGUACUUACCUCUGUGCUUUAUGUUGAAUUUACUACUUUGGAAGCACCUAUACUAUGGCUACCACCAACCUUCCUCUGCUCUUCGCAAUCGGGACAAUCGGUCCUCUUUCUGUUCCCUGCACCCAAAAGGCCCACAUUCGACAGCGACUGACAGCCCGAUCUGUGAGUAAGGCAUUCUGUGCAGAUUGGAAAGAUCCCAUUACUCUGGGCUCCUCCUUGGACCAUGGGUUUAUGAGUACUCUCUCUCUAGGGGGUUCGGCAGGAACCAUAGUCGCAAAGACCCAUAGCUGCCUCAUUUGUGGGCUGGUGGCACUGGGAAACCGCACUAUGAAAGGAUUGGAAGUUACCAACCAGGAGAUGACGGAACUACAAGUCUGUGCACAGCAGACUCGAUAUGUGGUGGAUUACCAGUUAGCACAACAGGGAGGAGUAUGUGUGAUUGUGGGCAACAAGUGUGUACCCAUGUUAAGAAUGAGUCCUAUAAUGUAUCUCAUGCUAUCCAUGAAAUCCAGGAGCAACUAGAUAGUUUUAGACAAGGACCCAUUGGAGGGAAUAGGUAAUGGGUGGUUAGGCUGAUUACUAGGGGGAUCUUGGACUGAUAGCAUAGCAUUCUGUGUAUUGCUGACUUACUUUAACCCCUGCUGUAAGGUCUUUAUGAACAAGCUCUCUGAUACAUUCUCAGCACUAGGUCACUAUGGAAUGAUAAAGGGAGGGAAUGAGAUGGUAUAGAGUUAAUUUUGUUCUGUUGACAUGUAAGAAAUUAGCCGUUAAGCUGUACCACUUGUUUCCUUGUCUCACUUGCAGGAGUUGGUAAUCUAAUUAUACUUUGCUCUCAAUCAUCUAAUUGCGCACAUUGUUCUGGGUGUCUGAACUUUACUUUUGUUUGAGGUGAUCAAGUGGUCUUUGUCUCGGACUAUCACUGUUGCUGGGCAUGUGACUGUGGAGGAUAGCUAUAAAAAAUGUUUUCUGCACCCGUGACAAAGAUGAUAUAAAAACUCUGUAUCUCUGUGCUUCGGCAGAGUUACCUCUGUGGCUGACUCUGUAACAGUGCAGAAGGCAGGUUCUCUCUCAUAGCUUGCUACUAAUAAAGGUGGAAAAGAAUCAACUGUGUGAAUCUCAUCUGCACCCUUUCCAGAGUGUCCAUUCUUCCUAUAAUGUCACACCCAGAAAUGCACACAAUACUCCAAGAAUUGUCUGACUCCUGUUUUAUAGUGGUGCAGUGUGAAUUCCUUAUUCUUGUCUUCAACACCCCUGUUAAUGAAGUUUGCUAUGUACCUUAUCCAGCAGUGUAACCACUUUCAUUGAACGAUGGACCUGGAACUGUUCCCUCUGUCACACAUUGCUAUUAAGGGAUUUACCAUUCACUGUAUACUUUGCUUUCAUUUGACAUCCCAAAGUGCAACUUCACACACUUUCCAGGAUUAAGCUCCAUCAGCCACUUUUCAGCUCAUAUCUGUAACUGAUCCAUAUCCCACUAUCUUCUUUGAUAGUCCUUUACACACAAAUUCCACCAAUUUUCAAAUUUCAAAGAAAAUUUAUUACCAAGAUAUGAAUCUGUCACCGUCUACUACCCGGAGAUUUUCUUGCAGAUGUUCAGAACAGAACAAUAAACUACAAUAAAACUAAUGAAGAACUACAUACGAAGACUGACAAACAAGCAAUGGGAAAGAAGACAAUCUGUGCAAAUCAAUCAAUCACACCAAUAAUAUGAUUUGUAGAGACCUUCAAAGUGAGUCUGUAGGUGUAUAAAUGUGGAGUAUAUAAGAUGAGUGAUCAAUCUAUUUUCCAGGUGUGGGGAGAUUUAAAUAGAAAGGGGAAAGAUUUAAAGGGGACAUGAAGGAAAAAAUUUUCACCGCAAGAGUGGUGGGUAGGUGGAACAAGCUGCCAGAUGAAGUGGUUAUACGUGGAUACAAUUAUACUUAAAAGGUAUUUAGAUAGGUACAUUGAUAGGAAAGAUUCAGAGUGAAAUAGAUAAUAUUAAGAGAGAGAACUGAGAGGUCAAUUGUAGUCUGAGGCUUCCUGUAUCAUCUCAGAGGACAUGGGGUUCAGUGAAUAAUCUCAGAGCUGAGGUCCAAGGCAGCUAAUAUCACUGUAGGGAAUGGUGGAUUGUCAUGAAGCCAAAGUUGUACAGCACAAAAACAGGCCCUUCGGCCUAUCACAUCUGUUUUGACCGUCAUACCCACCUACACUAAUCCCACUUGCCUACAUUAAUUCCAUAUCCCUCUGUGCCUUGCUCAUUGAAGUAGCUUUGCAGAUGCCUCAGGUGUUGUUCCACAGUCCCUGAAAGUGGCAUCACAGGCAGACAGCAUUGGGGAGAAGGUGUACGGUCUGCUGGCUUUCAUCAGCCAAAAAAUUGAGUACAUGUGUUGUGACAUCAAGUUUUAGAUGUACAAUGAGAUGGUUAGGCUGGAUUUGGAAUACUGAGUACAGCUCUUGUCACCAGACUGCAGAAGUGAUGUGAUGAAGCUCGAUUUGAUUGUACUGUAGUGGAGACAGUUGGCAUGAGAUGUAUGGAGAAUGAGAAGUGUAAUAGAUUGAGAGAUAGAUUCAAUAAAUAGACAUACCAUGUUACACAUGGUACGGGUAUCAAAAGCUAGAGAGCAUAGGUUAAAGUGACAGUAAAGGGAUCUGCGGGGUAAGUUGCUCUCACAAACAAUAAUUAGCAUCUUUGAUGAGGGACAGAGGAAGUGGUAAAGGCAGGUACCCAUGAGCUCUCUGUUCAACACUCCCCAGGACACUGCCAUUCACUGUGAGCGUCCUUCACUGGUUUAAAUAUAGUCUUUGAUUUGUGUAACAUGGAAGUAGGCCUUUUGGACCAACCCGUUCCUGCAGAACAAAUAGCCAACCUGAGUUAUACCCAGCCUGAAUUUAUCCCAUAUCCCUCUCCAGCUCUCUUAUCAACAUACCUGCCAAAAUGACUUUUAAAUAUAGUAAAUAUACCCACUUCUGCAGUACAUUCUGGCAGUUUAUUCCACUUACCCACCAUCGUCUGUGUGAAAAAAAUUGUUAUAUCUUCAUUGUCUCACAAUAUAUUUAUGUCAUUUACUUAUGGAAUUCCUUACCCUGGGGGAAAUCUACCUUAGUGAUGUAUCUCAUCAUUCCAUAAGUGCACCCCUCAGCCUCCUCCACUCCAGGGAAACAGUCCCACUCUAUCCACUCUCUCUGUAUAACUCAAACCCUCCAGUCCCAGUGACAUCCUUGUGAAUGUUUUCUACUCCCUUUGCAGCUGAAAUAACAUCCUUCCCGUGGUCUCGUGACCAAAACUGCAGAGUUGGCCAAAUGCAGUCUCACUAGCAUCUUGUGCAGUUUAUUUAUUUAUUUAGAGAUACAGUCCAGAACAGGCUCUUCUGGACCAAUGAGCCACACCACCCAGGCACCCACCCAUUUACUUCUAACCUAAUCGCAAGACAUUUUACAAUUACCAAUUAACCCCCUAACUGAUAUGUCUUCAGUGUGGGAGGAAAUCCAUGCUUUCACGGGGAGAAUGUACCCUCCUUACAGAUGGCACUGAAAUGGAACUCCGGACUCUGGAAUGCCCGGAGCUGUAACAGUGUUGUGUUAACUGCUAUGCUGUAACAUGACAUCCAGGGUACUGUACUCAAUAAUCUAACUGAAGAAGACAAAUGUACCGAAUGCCUUCUUCACCACCCUCUCUACCUGUGUCAACACUUUGUCUCUGUUUUACAACUCCCACAGAGACCUGUCAUUCACUAUGUAAGCCCGGCUCUGAAAUAAAUUAUCAAAAUUCAUGUCUGUACUUGGCUCAGUUAAAUCUUCCAUCAUCCAUUGCCUGUCCCAGACUAAUAAUUAGUAUAAUUCUCAUUGUAAGCUCACUGUCCAUGAGACCAUCUAAACUGGAAUUUUCUGAUUUGGUUGCUGGUGACUAGUGGUGUUCCACAGGGGUUGGUGUGGGACCACUUCUUUUCAUAUUAUAUGUCAGUGAUUUGGAUUUUGGAACUGAUGACUUUGUGGUCAAGUUUGCAAACGAUACAAAAUAGAUGGAUGGGUAGGUAGAAAUGAGGAAGCAGAGAGUGUGCAGAAUGACUUGGGCAGAUUGGGAGAAUGGGCAAAAAAGUGGCACAUGCAACAUGGUGUAGGGAAGUGUAUGGUCAUGCACUUUGUCUACACCUUUAUUCCUUCUACCAAUCUCCUAAAAGGGGAGAAUUUUUUUUUAAAUUCAGAGGAGCAGGGGAUGGGAGUCAUCGUGCAGGAUUCCCGAAAGGUUAAUUUGCCAGUUCAGUCAAUGCUAAGGAACGCUUGGCGGUUAGAAUUAAUUUCAAGCGGACUAGAAUAUAAAAGCAAGGAUGUGAUGCUCAAGCUUUAUGAGGCAUUGCUCAAGUUGCACUUGGAGUUUUUGAGCAAUUUUGCACCACUUAUCUGAGAAUAGAUGUGCUGCCAUUGAAGAUGGUCCAGAGAAGGCUCACAACACUGAUUCUGGGAAUGAAAGAUUUAACAUAUGAGGAGAGUUUGAUGGCUCUGGGCCUGUACUAAGAGUUUAGAAGUAUGAGGAGGGAUCUCAAAUGAAAGGCCUAGAUAGACAGGAUGUUUCCUGUAGUGUGUGAGUUUAGUACUAGAGGGCACAGUCUCUGAAUAAAGGGACAACCAUUUAGACAGAUGUGACGGAAUUUGUUUUGAGAGAGCGUGAUGGUUCUGUGGACUUCAUUGCCAGGCGCAGCUGUAGAGGUCAAAACACGGAGUAUUUUUUUAAAGCAGCGGUUGAUAGGUUCUUGAUUAGUCAGGGCUUCAAUGUCUGAUACAUGUAUGGUUGUGAGUUUUAUAUUAUAUUGGAUUUACAGUAUUAAUUGUGAACUGUGAAAAUUAAGCUGCAGUCUUUGUCUCCAAAAUGAUUUUAGACGAUUUGUGUUGAAAGAAUAUCUGGGGAAAUAUCAUAUGCCUCUGACACGGUCUCUACAUUGGUGAGACCCAUGCUAAAUUGGACUGCUUCAUUGAGCACCUCCAUUCCAACUGCCAGAAGUGAAGCUUCCCAGUGGCCCAAAAUUCGGAUUCAUGCCCUCCUCUUGUGCCACCAUGGGGCCACCCUCAGCAUGUAGGAGCAAUGCCUUAUAUUCUGUCUUGAGUAACCUUUAAACUGAUGACAUGAAUAUUGAUUUCUCCUUCCAGUUUAAAAAAAGCAUUCCUUCCCUCUCCUCUGAUCUUCUAUUCCCCACUGUCCUCCUACCUCUUCUCAUCCUGGUGCUCUUACUCCUUCAUUUUUUCCUAUGGUCCAUUCUCCUCUCCUAACAAAUUGCUUUGUCUCCAGUCCUUUUCCUUUCCUACCCACUUCACUUAACCUGUCACCUUCUAGCUAUCCUUCUUCCUCUCCCCCACCUUUGUGUUCUCUUAUCUUCCCCCUGCUUUCCAGUCCCGAAAAAGAGUCUCGCCCCAAAAGAUCGACUGUUUGUCUAUUUUCCCUGGUUGUUGCCUGACCUGUUGAGUUCCUCCAGAAUUUUAUGUAUGUUGUUUUCGAUUUCCAGCAUCUGCAGAAUCUUUAACAACUUUGUUUGCUGCAAGUAUCUUCUCCUGAACAGGGAGAGGGAACCCACCACUAAAAUAGUGGGUAAAGGCAGCUGAACUCACCAUGAAGAAUAAACUAUUCUUUGAGGAUUGUGUAGUUACAGUAUUAUCUCUGUUUAGUGAGAGUAUUUGUGGCAACUUAUAUCUGAUAGGUCUAACUAUCCUCGCUUGAGUUUAGAAGUUCACAGCCGGCAAACCCAAUACCAUCACAUAACUCAGGCCUCAAUUCCAUCCGUUAUUCUUCUAAAUCUUCUUUGCUACUUAAUGAAUAGCAAGUUGGAUGCGUUUAAAAGUGGAACAGCAAGUGUCUGGGAACAGAAUGUUCCUGUUGGUGUGAAGGGUAAACAAGCAGUUUUAGGGAAACUUGGUUCAUUGAGGAAGUUGGUAUGACAGCUUAGACUGGUGAGACUGUCAAGUCCGGUUUAUUGUCAUUUAACAAUAUAUAUUUAUACCGUCAAACGAGACAUUGCUCAAAACUAGAGUGCACAGCACCAUAAACAAACAUAACACAUAAUAACUUAUGAAAUUAAGGAUGAAAUCUAUAGAUUGAUUACACAUAAAUAAAGAAAUAAAGUGUGUAAAUUAAAUAUUGCAAGAUAUUUAAAGUGAACAGAUAAGGCUAACAGAUACUACAGGAAGGAUGUGGAAGCCAUAGAAAGGGUGCAGAGGAGAUUUACAAGGAUAUUGCUUGGAUUGGGGAGCUUGCCUUAUGAGGAUAGGUUUAGUGAACUUAGCCUUUUCUCCUUGGAAUGACGGAGGAUGAGAGGUGACCUGAUGGAGGUGUAUAAGAUGAUGAGAGUCAUUGAUCAUUUGGAUAGAGGCUUUUUCCCAGGGUUGAAAUGGUUGCCACAAGAGGACACAAGUUUAAGGUGUUGGGGAGUAGGUACAGAGGAGAUGUCAGGGGUAAGUUUUUUACUUAGAGAUUGGGGAGAGCAUGGAAUGGGCUGCCGGCAACGGUGGUGGAGGCGGAUACGAUAGGGUCUUUUUAAGAGACAUCUAGAUAGGUACAUGGAGCUUAGAAAAAUAGAGAGCUAUAGGUAAGCCGAGUAAUUUCUAAGGUAGGGACAUGUUCAGCACAACUUUGUGGGCCGAAUGGACUGUAUCGUGCUGAAGGUUAUCUAUGUUUCUAGCCCCAGUUUGAAUGCGAUGUGGCUGUGUUUGUAAGUCCGAUCGCAUUGCCGGAAUUCGCCGUCUCUCCUGUGGAAAAUAAAAAAAGAUUUCCCUAUCACGGGAUGGCCCAGCUCCACAGCUCAGUCCUGAAGUGGGAAUUAACUACAAACUUUUGGUUGGUUUUAAUAUUACAGUUGGAAAACAGCGAAUGCUGGAGAGAACGAAGUCAGUGCAACAGUGAAACAGAUUUAUAUGGAAACUUUGGCCUUUAAUUCGGACAAACUUUUUU